Molecule: ribosomal RNA, 234 nt
Filed under: uncultured Actinomycetales bacterium
Lineage: Bacteria; Bacillati; Actinomycetota; Actinomycetes; Actinomycetales
Description: partial 16S ribosomal RNA
Rfam family: Bacterial small subunit ribosomal RNA
Source: RNAcentral
UGGCGAACGGGUGAGUAACACGUGGGUGAUCUGCCCUGCACUUCGGGAUAAGCCUGGGAAACUGGGUCUAAUACCAGAUAGGACGAUGGUUUGGAUGCCAUUGUGGAAAGUUUUUCGGUGUGGGAUGAGCUCGCGGCCUAUCAGCUUGUUGGUGGGGUAAUGGCCUACCAAGGCGUCGACGGGUAGCCGGCCUGAGAGGGUGUACGGCCACAUUGGGACUGAGAUACGGCCCAG